RNAcentral lists this long non-coding RNA (1540 nucleotides) under Sus scrofa (pig). RNAcentral's name for it is "lncRNA (ENSSSCG00050016609.1)". Lineage: Eukaryota; Metazoa; Chordata; Mammalia; Artiodactyla; Suidae. The record is from RNAcentral.
AUGUUAAUGUGGUUUUAUUUAGUCAAUAGAAAGAUGCCUUUACAUGUACCUCCACGUCGCCUGUUUCCAGUACAGGAAAGUUGGGGUGGGAGGAGGACACUUCCUGGGCUGCUUAUCUCUGGUUGCACUUUCUUCUCAGGAGUGUGCAACAGGAUGGGGCAGGGGGCUUCAGGGGCUUCUGCUCUGCCUGGUGCCUGCCUAGCCAUUUCAGAGGAAAAGCAGUGGGUUCUGACAGUCAUCCCUCAACCUGAACAGCAAGAAUCGGGGGAUGAAUUCAGCUGCUUGCUCCUCGCGUGUGUGCCUGACGUUUUGAUAACCAUCUGGCUGACAGCGGGCUGUAUCUUUUCCUCCAGCCCUUCCCUAGCCAGGGCAGCCAUCUGCAGCUUGCCUGGGAGUUGGGUUGAUAGGCAUUCCCCAGCCUGGACAAACUCCUGGAAACUCGUUUUAGUGGAGGCUGGACGGAAAGCUCCUCUUGAUCUGCUGGAUCAUUCCUCAGCUUGGGACACGUCACCAGGCCCCCUAGUGGCCACACCCAACUGAAGCCCCAGGGCUAGCGAGCCUGGCUGAUGUAGCCUCCUGGGCAAAGAGUCCAGUGGAGAAGGAUGGAAGGCAGACCUGAAUGGGGCAAGUGAGUAGAAUCUAUCGCAAGCAUGAUAACACCAUGGGGCUGCCAUCACAAAACCCAGAACGCAGGAAACUCUCCAGAACAAACAACUUUUUUUUUUUUUUUUUUUUUUUUUGCUUCCAUCAAAUAACUUGCAAAGGUUAGGGGUGGCAGAUGGAGGAAGGACAGCAUAGGAGAACCUUUGCAUUAAACAACCCUUUUCCCCCUAACAAAGAAUUUACAAAGAGAAUGAAAGAAGGGGACCUGUAAAUUCAAAGACAUUUGAAUCAUGCACAGAUACAAAAGCAUAGACCUGUGGAUCCUGUUUCUAAGAAAUCAACUGGUAAGCAAGAUCAAUUCAAUUCCUGAAAAAAAUCUGAGAAAGUUGAACAGUGUCUAGAUAUUUGAUUAUGUGAAAGAAUUAUGGAUAGGUUCUCAGUUUUAGAUAUGAUUGUGGAAAAGAGAGAGAGGGAGAGAGCGGUUCUCACCCUGGCACAGUGGGUUAAGAAUCUAACUGCAGGAGUUCCCGUCGUGGCGCAGUGGUUAACGAAUCCGACUAGGAACCAUGAGGUUGCGGGUUUGGUCCCUGCCCUUGCUCAGUGGGUUAACGAUCCGGCGUUGCCGUGAGCUGUGGUGUAGGUUGCAGACGUGGCUCCGAUCCUGCGUUGCUGUGGCUCUGGCGUAGGCCGGUGGCUACAGCUCCGAUUCGGCCCCUAGCCUGGGAACCUCCAUAUGCCGCGGGAGCGGCCCAAGAAAUAGCAACAACAACAACAACAAAAAGAAUCUAACUGCAGUGGCUCUGGUUGCUGUGGAGGCACAGGUUCGAUCCCCAGCCCAGUGCAGUGGGUUAAAGGGUCUGGCGUUGCCACAGCUAUGGUGUAGGUUGCUGAUUCAGUCCUUGGCCCAGGAACUUCCAUAUGCUGAGGGUGUGGCCAU